GUGGGGAAUCUUGCGCAAUGAGCGAAAGCCUGACGCAGCCAUGCCGCGUGAAUGAUGAAGGUCUUAGGAUUGUAAAAUUCUUUCACCGGGGACGAUAAUGACGGUACCCGGAGAAGAAGCUCCGGCUAACUUCGUGCCAGCAGCCGCGGUAAUACGAAGGGGGCUAGCGUUGCUCGGAAUUACUGGGCGUAAAGGGCGCGUAGGCGGACAGCUUAGUCAGAGGUGAAAGCCCAGGGCUCAACCUUGGAAUUGCCUUUGAUACUGGCUGUCUUGAGUUUGGGAGAGGUGAGUGGAACUCCGAGUGUAGAGGUGAAAUUCGUAGAUAUUCGGAAGAACACCAGUGGCGAAGGCGACUCACUGGCCCAAUACUGACGCUGAGGCGCGAAAGCGUGGGGAGCAAACAGGAUUAGAUACCCUUGUAGUCC
This 425-nucleotide ribosomal RNA is filed under the name uncultured bacterium. Its description in RNAcentral is "partial 16S ribosomal RNA". It matches the Rfam family "Bacterial small subunit ribosomal RNA", at positions 354 to 796 of the family's 1533-position model. The record is from RNAcentral.